GCGUGGUUUAUUUGUGCACCUACCAUGCAGUUCGGAGCGCCUCGCAAGAGGAGCGGCAGACGGGUGAGUAACGCGUGGGAAUCUACCCAUCUCUACGGAACAACUCCGGGAAACUGGAGCUAAUACCGUAUACGUCCUUCGGGAGAAAGAUUUAUCGGAGAUGGAUGAGCCCGCGUUGGAUUAGCUAGUUGGUGGGGUAAUGGCCUACCAAGGCGACGAUCCAUAGCUGGUCUGAGAGGAUGAUCAGCCACACUGGGACUGAGACACGGCCCAGACUCCUACGGGAGGCAGCAGUGGGGAAUAUUGGACAAUGGGCGCAAGCCUGAUCCAGCCAUGCCGCGUGAGUGAUGAAGGCCCUAGGGUUGUAAAGCUCUUUCAACGGUGAAGAUAAUGACGGUAACCGUAGAAGAAGCCCCGGCUAACUUCGUGCCAGCAGCCGCGGUAAUACGAAGGGGGCUAGCGUUGUUCGGUAUUACUGGGCGUAAAGCGCACGUAGGCGGAUACUUAAGUCAGGGGUGAAAUCCCGGGGCUCAACCCCGGGAACUGCCUUUGAUACUGGGUAUCUCGAGUCCGGAAGAGGUGAGUGGAAUUUCCGAGUGUAGAGGUGAAAUUCGUAGAUAUUCGGGAGGCACAC
Molecule: ribosomal RNA, 634 nt
Filed under: Mesorhizobium waimense
Lineage: Bacteria; Pseudomonadati; Pseudomonadota; Alphaproteobacteria; Hyphomicrobiales; Phyllobacteriaceae
Description: bacterial SSU rRNA
Rfam family: Bacterial small subunit ribosomal RNA
Source: RNAcentral